UACGGAGGGUGCCAGCGUUGUCCGGAAUUACUGGGCGUAAAGCGCUCGUAGGCGGUCGCGUACGGCAGUGGUGAAAGCUCCCGGCUCAACUGGGAGAUGCCCAUUGCAACGGCGUGACUUGAGGGUGGUAGAGGCAGAUGGAAUUCCCGGUGUAGCGGUGAAAUGCGUAGAGAUCGGGAGGAACACCCAUGGCGAAGGCAGUCUGCUGGGCCACACCUGACGCUGAGGAGCGAAAGCCAGGGGAGCGAACGGG
Molecule: ribosomal RNA, 253 nt
Filed under: uncultured bacterium
Lineage: Bacteria
Description: partial 16S ribosomal RNA
Rfam family: Bacterial small subunit ribosomal RNA
Source: RNAcentral